Molecule: unclassified non-coding RNA, 378 nt
Filed under: uncultured Oligoflexales bacterium
Lineage: Bacteria; Pseudomonadati; Bdellovibrionota; Oligoflexia; Oligoflexales
Description: contains 16S-23S intergenic spacer region
Source: RNAcentral
UCCGGUUUAACACCGGCAGUCUCCAUAGAGUGCCCAACUAAAUGAUGGCAACUAGGGAUAAGGGUUGCGCUCGUUAAGGGACUUAACCCGACAUCUCACGAUACGAGCUGACGACAGCCAUGCAGCACCUAAACCACGGACUCCCGAAGGAGAAAAGAUAUCUCUACCUCUGUCCCGUGUUGUCUAACCCAGGUAAGGUUCUUCGCGUUGCAUCGAAUUAAACCACAUGCUCCACCGCUUGUGCGGGCCCCCGUCAAUUCCUUUGAGUUUUAACCUUGCGGCCGUACUUCCCAGGCGGAGUACUUAAUGCGUUAGCUGCGGCACUGUAGGGGUCAAUUCCCACAACACCUAGUACUCAUCGUUUACAGCGUGGACUAC